AGCUUAAUAAAUAUAACCAAAUAUUGUUCAAAUUCAAUUAAAUUUUUUUAAAAAAUAUAAAAUAAAUACAAAAAAAUCCUAAGUAAAUUCUAAUUGAAUUUUAAUAAAAUCUUAGAUAAAUCUUAAUCAAAUCCUAGAAAAAUCUUAAAUAAAUUCUAGAUAAAUCUUAUAUAAAUUUUAGUCAAAUCCUAAAUAAAUACUUAAUAAAUCUUAGAUAAGUCUUAAUCAAAUCUUAAACAAAUACUUGACGAAUCUUACAUAAAUCCUAAUAGAAUCCUAAACAAAUCUUAAUCAAAUCUUGAAUAAAUCUUUAAAAAUCCUAAUCAAAUCUUAAUGAAAUUCUAAAAUUUAAAUCAAUCUUAAAAAAUCUUAAUAAAAUCCUAAAUCCUACAACAAUCCUAAUGAAUCCUAAUGAAAUUGUAGAAAAAUCCUAUAUCUUACUUAAAUCCUAACCAAAUCUUAGAUCCUAAAAUAAUCCUAAUCAAUUCUUAAUUAAAACUUAAAUCUUAAAUAAAUUUUUUAAUAAUCCUGUAAUAGAUUAAAAAUUGAAUAAAAAAUAAUUGAAUUAUUGAUUUUAAUUCAAAAAUUUUACACCUUAUAACAACUAAGUUAACAAUAAGCACUAGUAUUUUUAAAAAGAUCAUACAUAUCAAAUAGAUGAUAAAUUCUAAAAUCUACUUGGAUGUUAGCUAGCCUCUUUCUUCAAUCUUAAUACCAAUCU
This 721-nucleotide long non-coding RNA is filed under the name Physcomitrium patens. RNAcentral describes it as "long non-coding RNA (PPAT_LNC003143)". Lineage: Eukaryota; Viridiplantae; Streptophyta; Bryopsida; Funariales; Funariaceae. The record is from RNAcentral.